GCCCGAAUAGCUCAGUUGGUAGAGCAGCGGAUUGAAAAUCCGCGUGUCGGCGGUUCAAAUCCGUCUUCGGGCA
This 73-nucleotide transfer RNA is filed under the name Pseudorhodobacter antarcticus. Its description in RNAcentral is "Pseudorhodobacter sp. ZS3-33 tRNA". It matches the Rfam family "tRNA". Rfam says of the family: Transfer RNA (tRNA) molecules are approximately 80 nucleotides in length. Their secondary structure includes four short double-helical elements and three loops (D, anti-codon, and T loops). Further hydrogen bonds mediate the characteristic L-shaped molecular structure. tRNAs have two regions of fundamental functional importance: the anti-codon, which is responsible for specific mRNA codon recognition, and the 3' end, to which the tRNAs corresponding amino acid is attached (by aminoacyl-tRNA synthetases). tRNAs cope with the degeneracy of the genetic code in two manners: having more than one tRNA (with a specific anti-codon) for a particular amino acid; and 'wobble' base-pairing, i.e. permitting non-standard base-pairing at the 3rd anti-codon position. Lineage: Bacteria; Pseudomonadati; Pseudomonadota; Alphaproteobacteria; Rhodobacterales; Paracoccaceae. The record is from Rfam by way of RNAcentral.